AUUAUAAACAUUAAUGACAAAUGGCAAAAUUCGUCGAUAAUUACCAACGAUCACAAAUAUGUUCAGUAAGUGCUCGUAGGUAAAUAUUUGUUGGUAAUUAUUGAUAGAUUCAAACCAUCGGUAAAAUACGUGAUUGGGUCUCAUUCUUCUUCUUACUUUUUGUUUUUCUUUAUUUCUUCAUCUUCAUCCUUCUCUCUUCCUCAUAGGAUUAUCGUUGUCAUCAUGCUACCAACGCCAAUUCCAACUAAUCUUCACUCUCACCAUUCUCCUUCUUCCUCCUCUUUAUCUUAUUUUUCCUCCUUCAGUUCCUCCUCAUCCUCCUUCUCCAACUCCAAUAACCACCAAUGUGUCUCUCCAUCACAUCACUUAUUCACAUCCAAACACCAUCAAGUUGUCAUCACGUCACCACCAUGCCAACAAUGUGUCUUCACUGUUACAUUGUCGUAUCACCAUCAAACGUGUAGUAACUUAUCGUAAAGCCUCUACCUCCUACUCUUCUUUUAUUCUUCU
RNAcentral lists this long non-coding RNA (510 nucleotides) under Vigna radiata. RNAcentral describes it as "long non-coding RNA (VRAD_LNC003168)". The record is from RNAcentral. Lineage: Eukaryota; Viridiplantae; Streptophyta; Magnoliopsida; Fabales; Fabaceae.